This 339-nucleotide unclassified non-coding RNA is filed under the name uncultured Tremellomycetes. RNAcentral's name for it is "sequence contains ITS1". The stretch from base 1 to 105 matches the Rfam family "5.8S ribosomal RNA", at positions 50 to 154 of the family's 154-position model. The record is from RNAcentral. Lineage: Eukaryota; Fungi; Basidiomycota; Tremellomycetes.
GAAAUGCGAUACGUAGUGUGAAUUGCAGAAUUCAGUGAAUCAUCGAAACCUUGAACGCAUCUUGCGCUUGCAGGUCCUCCUGCAAGCAUGCCUGUUUGAGCGUCGCUUUAUCAUCAUCCUCGAAACACUCUUUCCGGGAUGGUACUGACUGUCAGGCUUCACGGUCUGUCGGUUGAAAUACGCGGCAGAGACCCCACAAUGAGGUCACGAUAGUGCAACUGACAUGCUUCGGCAUGAUUCUAGCACUUGACUGCUCUCGCCGGGACCUCUCUGCAAGACGUCCUUCUGGACCCUCAACCCAUCGACCUCAAAUCAGGUAGGGAGACCCGCUGAACUUAA